RNAcentral lists this long non-coding RNA (1902 nucleotides) under Daucus carota (carrot). RNAcentral's name for it is "long non-coding RNA (DCAR_LNC005864)". The record is from RNAcentral. Lineage: Eukaryota; Viridiplantae; Streptophyta; Magnoliopsida; Apiales; Apiaceae.
CGUCCUUGCCGCCAAAAAUGCUCACAUAGCAGAGCUGGAAAAGGCGAACACGAAGCUAAAGAGCGAGGCAACAACGUCCGCGGAUCGUCUGAAAGACCUCCAGAAGAAAUACAAAGAUGAUAUCAAGACAAGGGAUGCCCAGAUCAGGAAUGUUCAGGAUACCCUCAAUGAACUCACUGAGUCCUCAACUUCAGCCGCCAACCUCGCCAACUCUACCAUCGCAGGUCUCCAGUCUGAGCUUGAGGGCGAGAAAGCCUCCAAAUCCAAGGAGCUGAGCGACGCAUACCGCCUUGGGUUCUCGGAAUAUCUUAUCAAUUUCUUGGCUGCGGACCCUGACUACGACUGGACGACGUUCUUCGCCCCUUCUACUCCUGCUUUCAUGGUGGGCUUCAAAGAGGCUAAUGCUACCGCCAUUGAGAAGGCGAGGAAGGAUCUUGAGACGAAGAUCCUUUCAGAGAAGGAGGCGUUGGCCAAGAAAGGUGGCGAGACCACACAGGGCGAGGCAGGAGACAAGGGCGACGGUGAGGCCACCACCACUGAGUAGCAGAAGGAAUGAACUUUUUAUUUUGAACAGUCUUAAGUACAUUUGGAGUGCGAGCCCUCCGUAAUUGGCCUUGCCAGUUGUAUUUGAAUUCUAACUCUUUUGCUGUUGUAGUCUUGUGCUUUUAAUUUAUCUUGCUUCGUCGUCUUCGCCAUGUCUUUUUGAUAAUUUUUAUAUCUACUUGCACCUCGAGGGCUCAUCCUUCCCUUGACCACUCAUCUUUAAGAUAGCUGCACAGGGCGAGGAUCCAUCCUCGGGCGAGGCUCUUAGCCUCUUAUUUUUAUUCUUCCUUGUAUGCUCAUAAAUGAAGACGAGGAUUCACCCCUCCCUUGACCACUCAUCAUUAGAAUAGUGUCUGUCGCCUUCAGUGUUUUGGCCGAAGACAACUAUGAUGCUGUGGACGUCAAAGUCUGGUCGUCAAAGAAAGCUGAUGAAGCUGAACAUGGCUUCAAGUUAGGAUUGGGCGAGGCGUUUUUUCAGGGCCUCAACGUCCUUGCCGCCAAAAAUGCUCACAUAGCAGAGCUGGAAAAGGCGAACACGAAGCUAAAGAGCGAGGCAACAACGUCCGCGGAUCGUCUGAAAGACCUCCAGAAGAAAUACAAAGAUGAUAUCAAGACAAGGGAUGCCCAGAUCAGGAAUGUUCAGGAUACCCUCAAUGAACUCACUGAGUCCUCAACUUCAGCCGCCAACCUCGCCAACUCUACCAUCGCAGGUCUCCAGUAUGAGCUUGAGGGCGAGAAAGCCUCCAAAUCCAAGGAGCUGAGCGACGCAUACCGCCUUGGGUUCUCGGAAUAUCUUAUCAAUUUCUUGGCUGCGGACCCUGACUACGACUGGACGACGUUCUUCGCCCCUUCUACUCCUGCUUUCAUGGUGGGCUUCAAAGAGGCUAAUGCUACCGCCAUUGAGAAGGCGAGGAAGGAUCUUGAGGCGAAGAUCCUUUCAGAGAAGGAGGCGUUGGCCAAGAAAGGUGGCGAGACCACACAGGGCGAGGCAGGAGACAAGGGCGACGGUGAGGCCACCACCACUGAGCAGCAGAAGGAAUGAACUUUUUAUUUUGAACAGUCUUAAGUACAUUUGGAGUGCGAGCCCUCCGUAAUUGGCCUUGCCAGUUGUAUUUGAAUUCUAACUCUUUUGCUGUUGUAGUCUUGUGCUUUUAAUUUAUCUUGCUUCGUCGUCUUCGCCAUGUCUUUUUGAUAAUUUUUAUAUCUACUUGCACCUCGAGGGUUCAUCCUUCCCUUGACCACUCAUCUUUAAGAUAGCUGCACAGGGCGAGGAUCCAUCCUCGGGCGAGGCUCUUAGCCUCUUAUUUUUAUUCUUCCUUGUAUGCUCAUAAAUGAAGACGAGGAUUCACCCCUCCCUUG